This is a long non-coding RNA of Equus caballus (horse), 729 nucleotides long. RefSeq lists it as uncharacterized. NCBI's taxonomy places the organism in Eukaryota, Metazoa, Chordata, Mammalia, Perissodactyla, Equidae. The record is from RefSeq and is a predicted model, not a curated record.
AAGGACCCACUCCAGUCAGCCGUCAGCAGCCCUCUCAGACGGGUUGUUUCGGAAGGCACCCGAGAGGCAAUUUCUGUACAUGCACUGCUCUCCCAACAAGGGGAAAACUGACCACGGUCACCAAACGGGCCAGAGGGACUCCUGCCAGAACUGGUUCUCAGCCGGCUUCUGAGGCAGCUGUCCCAAGCUAAGCAUAAAGAAAGGGAGGGGAAAAGGGGGUCACCGAGCUGCUGAGCACUUACUGUGCACCAACCUCCGUGUUUCGAGCCUCAGGACAUGAGCUCAUUUGCACCUCGCAGAAAUCCUGUGGCCCGAGUCAUUGCAUGUGAGUGCAAGGGAAUGAGGCUUGUGUAAAUCCAGGGUCGCAGAGCUGGAGUAUGGGGACGAGACUCCUAACACAAGGAAGCUAUCCAGCCUGGUGGCAUCUUUGGAAAAGCUGGGCCGAAUCUUCUUGCAAGGUCUUCCACCUGCAACGUUUCUUUCGCCAUCUGCUUUUCUACUACUCCCCUCUGGACCAGACUGUAAGGAGGCAGGAAAUGCGAUUCAACACUGUGGCCGAACCGGACAGGGAUCGGAUUGGUGUCUGCAGGCAGCCAAGAGCCAGCAGCUUUUCAGAAUGAUCAUUUAGUGGGAAAAUUUGUUAACUUUGCUUUAUUUCUCCUACCAAUUAUAUUUUAAAAAAAUCACACAAAUAAAACAGCUCAAUAAAAAGUAUUAAUUACCUGACAA